RNAcentral lists this ribosomal RNA (515 nucleotides) under Cortinarius absarokensis. RNAcentral's name for it is "eukaryotic LSU rRNA". The stretch from base 120 to 273 matches the Rfam family "5.8S ribosomal RNA". The record is from RNAcentral. Lineage: Eukaryota; Fungi; Basidiomycota; Agaricomycetes; Agaricales; Cortinariaceae.
CCAGCAUUUCAGGUUGGAGGAAUUUGACUUUGUUGUCUUUCCUUGCAUUUCUAGGUCUAUGUUCUUUUUCAUAUAAUCUUAUUGUGAUAUAAUGGACCCUAUAUAAUAUAAACCUAUACAACUUUCAGCAACGGAUCUCUUGGCUCUCGCAUCGAUGAAGAACGCAGCGAAAUGCGAUAAGUAAUGUGAAUUGCAGAAUUCAGUGAAUCAUCGAAUCUUUGAACGCACCUUGCGCUCCUUGGUAUUCCGAGGAGCAUGCCUGUUUGAGUGUCAUUAAUAUAUCAACCUCUUUAAAUUUUGAGAGUGUUUGGAUGUGGGGGGUGUUAUUUUGCUGGCUUUCUCCAAGGUCAGCUCCCCUGAAAUGUAUUAGCGGAACAAUUUGUUGACCGUUCAUUGGUGUGAUAGCAUAUCUACGCUAUUGACGUGAAGCAAGUUCAGCUUAUAACAGUCCAUUGACUUGGACAAUUCUAUUAUUAAUGUGACCUCAAAUCAGGUAGGACUACCCGCUGAACUAA